GAUGAACGCUGGCGGCGUGCUUAACACAUGCAAGUCGAACGAAGCUGCUUAAAGGAAGUCUUCGGAUGGAAUUUAGGUAGACUUAGUGGCGGACGGGUGAGUAACGCGUGGAUAACCUGCCUUAUACAGGGGGAUAACGGAGAGAAAUUUCCGCUAACACCGCAUAAGACCACAGCACCGCAUGGUGCAGGGGUAAAAUAUUUAUAGGUAUAAGAUGGAUCCGCGUCCGAUUAGCUAGUUGGUGAGGUAAAGGCCCACCAAGGCGACGAUCGGUAGCCGGCCUGAGAGGGUGAACGGCCACAUUGGGACUGAGACACGGCCCAAACUCCUACGGGAGGCAGCAGUGGGGAAUAUUGGACAAUGGGGGCAACCCUGAUCCAGCCAUGCCGCGUGUCUGAAGAAGGCCUUCGGGUUGUAAAGGACUUUUGUUAGGGAAGAAAAGGGAAGUGUUAAUACCACUUUUUGCUGACGGUACCUAAAGAAUAAGCACCGGCUAACUACGUGCCAGCAGCCGCGGUAAUACGUAGGGUGCGAGCGUUAAUCGGAAUUACUGGGCGUAAAGCGAGCGCAGACGGUUACUUAAGCAGGAUGUGAAAUCCCCGGGCUCAACCUGGGAACUGCGUUCUGAACUGGGUAGCUAGAGUAUGUCAGGGGGGGGUAGAAUUCCACGUGUAGCAGUGAAAUGCGUAGAGAUGUGGAGGAAUACCGAUGGCGAAGGCAGCCCCCUGGGAUAAUACUGACGUUCAUGCUCGAAAGCGUGGGUAGCAAACAGG
RNAcentral lists this ribosomal RNA (773 nucleotides) under uncultured Pseudomonas sp. RNAcentral describes it as "bacterial SSU rRNA". It matches the Rfam family "Bacterial small subunit ribosomal RNA", at positions 28 to 776 of the family's 1533-position model. Lineage: Bacteria; Pseudomonadati; Pseudomonadota; Gammaproteobacteria; Pseudomonadales; Pseudomonadaceae. The record is from RNAcentral.